This 468-nucleotide ribosomal RNA is filed under the name uncultured bacterium. Its description in RNAcentral is "partial 16S ribosomal RNA". It matches the Rfam family "Bacterial small subunit ribosomal RNA", at positions 28 to 507 of the family's 1533-position model. The record is from RNAcentral.
GACGAACGCUGGCGGCGUGCUUAACACAUGCAAGUCGAACGGAAAGGCCCUGCUUUUGUGGGGUGCUCGAGUGGCGAACGGGUGAGUAACACGUGAGUAACCUGCCCUUGACUUUGGGAUAACUUCAGGAAACUGGGGCUAAUACCGGAUAGGAGCUCCUGCUGCAUGGUGGGGGUUGGAAAGUUUCGGCGGUUGGGGAUGGACUCGCGGCUUAUCAGCUUGUUGGUGGGGUAGUGGCUUACCAAGGCUUUGACGGGUAGCCGGCCUGAGAGGGUGACCGGCCACAUGGGGACUGAGAUACGGCACAGAAUCCUACGGGAGGAAGAAGUGGGGAAUAUUGCACAAUGGGAGGAAGCCUGAUGCAGCAACGCCGCGGGAGGGAUGACGGCCUUAGGGUUGUAAACCGCUUUCGCCUGUGACGAAGCGUGAGUGACGGUAAUGGGUAAAGAAGCACCGGCUAACUACGUG